AUGUGUCUUCUUAGGUUACUGAUGAGCACAAGGGCUAUCAGUGUUGGGAUCAUAUCGAUCGGCGGAUUAAGCAUUCCUCGGGGUGCGACUUUUGAUGAGCCUCGUCCUUUCUAUCCACGUCGAUUCUCUCCUUUGGCCUCUCUCAUUGAGGAUAUUUCUUUCCUAGCUUUUGCCAAUACACCUAUCACUCAUAUAUUGCCCUUGUGCAUCCAUUCCAAUGUGUCUUCCUAUACGACUAUUGUAGACCCCACGUCAUCAUCACCUACGGCUUCCCCACCUCAUUUGUCCCCUAAGGCUUCCCCGGUGAUUCAUCCUCAUCCUCUUCUUUACUACACUAGUCGUCCACAUCUUUUGGAUUCUUCUGAUGUGUCAUCUUUCAAUGAGCUAUCUCCCUCGACUACUAUGUCUCCUUCUGUUGACAACGCACCUCCUCCAGCUCAACCUACUUAUGGCUUCUGCGCCCACCCGCUUCCGCUUAUUGAUCGCUAA
Molecule: ribosomal RNA, 489 nt
Filed under: Triticum aestivum (bread wheat)
Lineage: Eukaryota; Viridiplantae; Streptophyta; Magnoliopsida; Poales; Poaceae
Description: partial small subunit ribosomal RNA
Source: RNAcentral